GACGAACGCUGUCGGCGUGCUUAACACAUGCAAGUCGAACGGAAAGGCCCUGCUUUUGUGGGGUGCUCGAGUGGCGAACGGGUGAGUAACACGUGAGUAACCUGCCCUUGACUUUGGGAUAACUUCAGGAAACUGGGGCUAAUACCGGAUAGGAGCUCCUGCUGCAUGGUGGGGGUUGGAAAGUUUCGGCGGUUGGGGAUGGACUCGCGGCUUAUCAGCUUGUUGGUGGGGUAGUGGCUUACCAAGGCUUUGACGGGUAGCCGGCCUGAGAGGGUGACCGGCCACAUUGGGACUAAGAUACGGCCCAGACUCCUACGGGAGGCAGCAGUGGGGAAUAUUGCACAAUGGGCGGAAGCCUGAUGCAGCAACGCCGCGUGCGGGAUGACGGUCUUCGGGUUGUAAACCGCUUUCGCCUGUGACGAAGCGUGAGUGACGGUAAUGGGUAAAGAAGCACCGGCUAACUACGUGCCAGCAGCCGCGGUGAUACGUAGGGUGCGAGCGUUGUCCGGAUUUAUUGGGCGUAAAGGGCUCGUAGGUGGUUGAUCGCGUCGGAAGUGUAAUCUUGGGGCUUAACCCUGAGCGUGCUUUCGAUACGGGUUGACUUGAGGAAGGUAGGGGAGAAUGGAAUUCCUGGUGGAGCGGUGGAAUGCGCAGAUAUCAGGAGGAACACCAGUGGCGAAGGCGGUUCUCUGGGCCUUUCCUGACGCUGAGGAGCGAAAGCGUGGGGAGCGAACAGGCUUAGAUACCCUGGUAGUCCACGCUGUAAACGGUGGGUACUAGGUGUGGGGUCCAUUCCACGGGUUCCGUGCCGUAGCUAACGCUUUAAGUACCCCGCCUGGGGAGUACGGCCGCAAGGCUAAAACUCAAAGGAAUUGACGGGGCCCCGCACAAGCGGCGGAGCAUGCGGAUUAAUUCGAUGCAACGCGUAGAACCUUACCUGGGUUUGACAUGGAUCGGGAGUGCUCAGAGAUGGGUGUGCCUCUUUUGGGGUCGGUUCACAGGUGGUGCAUGGCUGUCGUCAGCUCGUGUCGUGAGAUGUUGGGUUAAGUCCCGCAACGAGCGCAACCCUUGUUCACUGUUGCCAGCACGUUAUGGUGGGGACUCAGUGGAGACCGCCGGGGUCAACUCGGAGGAAGGUGGGGAUGACGUCAAGUCAUCAUGCCCCUUAUGUCCAGGGCUUCACGCAUGCUACAAUGGCUGGUACAGAGAGUGGCGAGCCUGUGAGGGUGAGCGAAUCUCGGAAAGCCGGUCUCAGUUCGGAUUGGGGUCUGCAACUCGACCUCAUGAAGUCGGAGUCGCUAGUAAUCGCAGAUCAGCAACGCUGCGGUGAAUACGUUCCCGGG
This 1343-nucleotide ribosomal RNA is filed under the name uncultured bacterium. RNAcentral's name for it is "16S ribosomal RNA". It matches the Rfam family "Bacterial small subunit ribosomal RNA", at positions 28 to 1378 of the family's 1533-position model. The record is from RNAcentral.